UCGUAUCGCACACGCUCAUCCCCGGUUCGAGAUGGCGGCGGCGGCGGCGGCGGCAGCGGCGGCGGGGG
This 68-nucleotide microRNA precursor is filed under the name Mus spretus (western wild mouse). RNAcentral's name for it is "predicted gene, 56114 (ENSMSPG00010044243.1)". Lineage: Eukaryota; Metazoa; Chordata; Mammalia; Rodentia; Muridae. The record is from RNAcentral.